AACGUAGGACACAAGCGUUAUCCGGAGUUACUGGGCGUAAAGGGCGUUUAGGCGGGUGAUUAAGUUCGCUAUGAAAGCGCCGGGCUAAACUCGGCGAGGCUGGCGGAUACUGGUCAUCUGGAGUGAGUCAGAGGAAGGUAGAAUUCCGCGUGUAGUGGUGAAAUGCGUAGAGAUGCGGAGGAAUACCAGUGGCGAAGGCGGCCUUCUGGGACUCAACUGACGCUGAAGCGCGAAAGCACGGGGAGCGAACGGG
Molecule: ribosomal RNA, 253 nt
Filed under: uncultured bacterium
Lineage: Bacteria
Description: partial 16S ribosomal RNA
Rfam family: Bacterial small subunit ribosomal RNA
Source: RNAcentral